Molecule: ribosomal RNA, 481 nt
Filed under: uncultured bacterium
Lineage: Bacteria
Description: bacterial SSU rRNA
Rfam family: Bacterial small subunit ribosomal RNA
Source: RNAcentral
GAUGAACGCUGGCGGCGUGCCUAAUACAUGCAAGUCGAACGAGGUGCUUUUGUAGCAAUACGAGAGUAUCCUAGUGGCGAACGGGUGAGUAACGCGUUGGUGACCUACCCCAAAGUGUGGGAUAACAGUCCGAAAGGAUUGCUAAUACCGCAUGUGGUCUUCGGAUUUAGAAACUGAUGACUAAAGGAGCAAUUCGCUUUGGGAGGGACCUGCGUCCCAUCAGCUAGUUGGUGAGGUAAUGGCUCACCAAGGCUACGACGGGUAGGGGACCUGAGAGGGUGACCCCCCACAAUGGAACUGAAACACGGUCCAUACACCUACGGGUGGCAGCAGUAGGGAAUAUUGCACAAUGGGCGAAAGCCUGAUGCAGCAACGCCGCGUGUACGAUGAAGGCCUUCGGUCGUAAACUGCUUUGUACGGAACGAAACGGUACUGCCCUAAUACGGCAGGCUAAUGACGGUACCGUAAGAAUAAGCACCGG